GACGUCGGCGGUGUAGUCGGGGAUCUCGAAGGAGACGGCGACGUGGGAUUGGGCGGCGAGGUUGUAGACCUCAUCGGGGAGGAGAGCGUCGACCCAGCGGCGGAGGGAGGAUGCAUCGGAGAGGUCGGCAUAGUGGAGCUUCAUGCGGGCCUUGACGGCGUUGUGGGGGUCGACGUAGAGGUGGUCUAGGCGGGCGGUGUUGAAAUUGGAGGAGCGCCGGAUGAGGCCGUGCACCUCGUAUCCGUUCCCCAACAGGAACUCCGUCAGGUACG
RNAcentral lists this long non-coding RNA (272 nucleotides) under Musa acuminata (dwarf banana). RNAcentral's name for it is "long non-coding RNA (MACU_LNC000701)". The record is from RNAcentral. Lineage: Eukaryota; Viridiplantae; Streptophyta; Magnoliopsida; Zingiberales; Musaceae.